GAAUUAUGAAAAAAGAGUUGUGUCCGAUGCAAUUCAAAGGAUUUACAUACCAUGUCAGAGGAUUCUGCUAAAACGUUGCUGGAACAUGUGACCGGUUGGGAGGUGAAAAAUGAGGGUGACAUUCUGAAAUUGCACAUGGCAUGGAAGGUGAAGAACUUUGUGAAAGGGCUUGAGUUCUUUCAGCUUGUUGCUGCUGUUGCCGAGGAAGAAGGUCACCACCCAGAUCUUCACCUUGUUGGUCGGAAUAAUGUGAAAAUUGAUGUGUGGACUCACUCAGUCAGCAAGUGUUCCCCACUGUUCCAUAUGGUUAUUUUGAGUUCAGAUUUCACUCUAGGAUUUCACGUAUUACCUCUGUUGAUUUCCGGGAAAAACGGAGCAGCAUUAAUAUAG
Molecule: ribosomal RNA, 390 nt
Filed under: Triticum aestivum (bread wheat)
Lineage: Eukaryota; Viridiplantae; Streptophyta; Magnoliopsida; Poales; Poaceae
Description: partial small subunit ribosomal RNA
Source: RNAcentral